GAAAUGCGAUAAGUAAUGUGAAUUGCAGAAUUCCGUGAAUCAUCGAAUCUUUGAACGCACAUUGCGCCCUCUGGUAUUCCGGGGGGCAUGCCUGUCCGAGCGUCAUUGCGAACCCCUCAAGCACGGCUUGUGUGAUGGGCCCUCCCGCGUCUUGGUCGUCAAGACGGGCCCGAAAUGCAGUGGCGGCUUCGCGGUUAUCCGAUCAACCAGAGCGUAUGGGGACUUUCUCUCUGUCACACGCCCGCGGCGCGGACCGACGCCUGUCGACCUUCAUUCAUCGUUUUCUCGGUUGACCUCGGAUCAGGUAGGGAUACCCGCUGAACUUAAGC
RNAcentral lists this unclassified non-coding RNA (329 nucleotides) under plant metagenome. Its description in RNAcentral is "partial contains 5.8S ribosomal RNA, internal transcribed spacer 2, and large subunit ribosomal RNA". The stretch from base 1 to 105 matches the Rfam family "5.8S ribosomal RNA", at positions 50 to 154 of the family's 154-position model. The record is from RNAcentral.